Molecule: long non-coding RNA, 477 nt
Filed under: Brachypodium distachyon (stiff brome)
Lineage: Eukaryota; Viridiplantae; Streptophyta; Magnoliopsida; Poales; Poaceae
Description: long non-coding RNA (BDIS_LNC004260)
Source: RNAcentral
AUGACAUUUAUAUAAGCAAAAGUAUUUUUACUUAUUUUAUUUUUGAAAGGAUUCAAGUCCCAAAAUUUCACACUUUAGAGAAUUUAAAUUUACAAAUUUUCUGAAGUUUAUUUGGACUUAUUUGGAAUUAGGAAUCAAAAGUUAUUAAUAAAAAAAGAAAUGAAAAAAAAGAAAAGAAUGGACCGACCCAACUGGGCCGGCCCAUCUCCACCGAACGCCCCAGCCAGCCACGAGCACGAGCUCGUGCUUCCUCCUCCUCUGCAAGUAAGAAAUCCUUUCUUUCCGUAUUUUCUUUCUUCAAUUUCUUUCCUUUUCGCGCGUCUCUCUCCAAAAGGAAACCACCCCAUAAAUCCUCACCAUCCCGGGAACCCAUUCAGGAAAUCAAUUUGAAGUUUCCUCUAAUUAUCGCAGUUUCCAAAAUAGGUGCCCCGAAUGUCGGCCGUCGACAUCCACGCCCGAUCUCCCUCCUCGGCCACU